GCCUCCUUAGCUCAGGGGACAGAGCAGCGGUCUUCGGAACCGCGUGGCGGGAGUUCGAAUCUCUCAGGGGGCAC
Molecule: transfer RNA, 74 nt
Filed under: Streptomyces phage BillNye
Lineage: Duplodnaviria; Heunggongvirae; Uroviricota; Caudoviricetes; Stanwilliamsviridae
Also listed under: 1 other name
Description: tRNA-Arg
Rfam family: tRNA
About the family: Transfer RNA (tRNA) molecules are approximately 80 nucleotides in length. Their secondary structure includes four short double-helical elements and three loops (D, anti-codon, and T loops).
Source: RNAcentral